Molecule: unclassified non-coding RNA, 193 nt
Filed under: Glomeraceae sp.
Lineage: Eukaryota; Fungi; Glomeromycota; Glomeromycetes; Glomerales; Glomeraceae
Description: partial contains 5.8S ribosomal RNA and internal transcribed spacer 2
Rfam family: 5.8S ribosomal RNA (bases 1-71)
Source: RNAcentral
GUGAAUCAUCAAAUUUUUGAACGCAAAUUGCACUCCCUGGUAUUCCGGGGAGUAUGCCUGUUUGAGGGUCGUUAGAAUAAUAAAUCGAGGCGUUGUUUUUUUUUUUAAGGGUGACCGCGUUGGAAUUGAGGUGUUUUUCAAACGUUAAUUCAUGUCAAAGUGGCUUAAAUAUCAUCCAUACGGUACGAAUAAA